Molecule: unclassified non-coding RNA, 400 nt
Filed under: soil metagenome
Description: partial contains 5.8S ribosomal RNA, internal transcribed spacer 2, and large subunit ribosomal RNA
Rfam family: 5.8S ribosomal RNA (bases 1-122)
Source: RNAcentral
GAUGAAGAACGCAGCGAAAUGCGAUACUUGGUGUGAAUUGCAGAAUCCCGUGAACCAUCGAGUCUUUGAACGCAAGUUGCGCCUCAAGCCAUUAGGUUGAGGCCACGUCUGCCUGGGCGUCACAUAUCGUUGCCUGAUGCCAGUUUCCUCGUGAUGGGUGACUGUGCAGGGCGAAUGAUGGCUUCCCGUGAGCAUUGUUGCCUCAUGGUUGGUUGAAAAUUGAGUCCUUGGUAGGGAGCGCCGUGAUAGAUGGUGGUUGAGUGACGAACGAGACCCAAUCAUGUGAGACCCCUACCGAAUUUGGCCUUCAUGACCCACAUGCGUCUUUGGAACGCUCAUGACGAGACCUCAGGUCAGGCGGGGCUACCCGCUGAGUUUAAGCAUAUCAAUAAGCGGAGGA